This 319-nucleotide ribosomal RNA is filed under the name uncultured bacterium. RNAcentral's name for it is "bacterial SSU rRNA". It matches the Rfam family "Bacterial small subunit ribosomal RNA", at positions 28 to 348 of the family's 1533-position model. The record is from RNAcentral.
GACGAACGCUGGCGGCGUGCUUAACACAUGCAAGUCGAGCGGUAAGGCUCCUUCGGGAGUACACGAGCGGCGAACGGGUGAGUAACACGUGAGUAAUCUGCCCUUCACUUCGGGAUAACCGCCGGAAACGGUGGCUAAUACCGAAUACGACGCGCUCUCGCAUGAGAUGCGCGUGGAAAGUCUUAUCGGUGAAGGAUGUGCUCGCGGCCUAUCAGCUUGUUGGGAGGUAACGGCUCACCAAGGCUUCGACGGGUAGCCGGCCUGAGAGGGUGACCGGCCACACUGGGACUGAGACACGGCCCAGACUCCUAGUGGGAGC